Sphaeramia orbicularis (orbiculate cardinalfish) is the source of this 494-nucleotide long non-coding RNA. RefSeq lists it as uncharacterized. NCBI's taxonomy places the organism in Eukaryota, Metazoa, Chordata, Actinopteri, Kurtiformes, Apogonidae. The record is from RefSeq and is a predicted model, not a curated record. The transcript is spliced from 2 exons.
AGGAGAUGGAGGAGGAGAAGCUGAAGGAGAGGCUGGAGCAGAUGGAGGAGGAGAGGCUGGAGUAGAUGGAGGAGGAGAAGAUGGAGCAGAUGAAGGAGGAGAAGCUGAAGGAGAAGCUGGAAAUUUACAGGCCCAGAAUGCAAAUGACAAGCACACUGUGAGGAUUGUAGGAAUCCACAAAGUCCUACAGACAAUAGUUCACCUGCACGUUAGGGUCAACGGGGAGAUUAAGCUAUUAAGCAUCACACCUGCCCGACUGGCGAAGGCAUUCGGCAUCAGACGGAAGGACGUCUCAAAGGACAGACUGUUGAAGGAGAUACCAGCGAAGGCAGCGGUGGAGAUCAAAGAAAACAAAGAAAUAAUUAACAUCAUAAAAAUGUAAAAUAAAUAAAUAAAUAAAUCUCACUGCUUCAUUUGAAACUAGAUGCUAAAACUAUUUGUCUAUUAUUAUUUUUGUAACUUUUUUUUGAAGGUAAUAAAGAGAAUGACUUGGA